This 459-nucleotide ribosomal RNA is filed under the name uncultured Solirubrobacterales bacterium. Its description in RNAcentral is "bacterial SSU rRNA". It matches the Rfam family "Bacterial small subunit ribosomal RNA", at positions 341 to 792 of the family's 1533-position model. The record is from RNAcentral. Lineage: Bacteria; Bacillati; Actinomycetota; Thermoleophilia; Solirubrobacterales.
ACGGGAGGCAGCAGUGGGGAAUCUUGCGCAAUGCGCGAAAGCGUGACGCAGCAACGCCGCGUGGGGGAAGACGGCCUUCGGGUUGUAAACCCCUUUCAGGAGGGACGAAGGUUCGCCGGUGAAUAGCCGUGCGGAUUGACGGUACCUCCAGAAGAAGCUCCGGCUAACUACGUGCCAGCAGCCGCGGUAAUACGUAGGGAGCAAGCGUUGUCCGGAAUCAUUGGGCGUAAAGCGCGCGUAGGCGGCCCUGUAAGUCCGUUGUGAAAGUCAAAGGCUCAACCUUUGAAAGCCGAUGGAUACUGCAGGGCUAGAGUUCGGAAGAGGCGAGUGGAAUUCCUGGUGUAGCGGUGGAAUGCGCAGAUAUCAGGAGGAACACCAAUAGCGAAGGCAGCUCGCUGGGACGGUACUGACGCUAAGGCGCGAAAGCGUGGGGAGCGAACAGGAUUAGAUACCCUGGUA